Molecule: ribosomal RNA, 497 nt
Filed under: uncultured bacterium
Lineage: Bacteria
Description: partial 16S ribosomal RNA
Rfam family: Bacterial small subunit ribosomal RNA
Source: RNAcentral
GAUGAACGCUGGCGGCGUGCCUAAUACAUGCAAGUCGAGCGAACGGACGAGAAGCUUGCUUCUCUGAUGUUAGCGGCGGACGGGUGAGUAACACGUGUAUAACCUACCUAUAAGACUGGGAUAACUUCGGGAAACCGGAGCUAAUACCGGAUAAUAUUUUGAUCCGCAUGGUUCUAUAGUGUAAGACGGUCUUGCUGUCACUUAUAGAUGGAUCCGCGCUGCAUUAGCUAGUUGUUAAGGUAACGGCUUACCAAGGCAACGAUGCAUAGCCGACCUGAGAGGGUGAUCGGCCACACUGGAACUGAGACACGGUCCAGACUCCUACGGGAGGCAGCAGUAGGGAAUCUUCCGCAAUGGGCGAAAGCCUGACGGAGCAACGCCGCGUGAGUGAUGAAGGUCUUCGGAUCGUAAAACUCUGUUAUUAGGGAAGAACAAAAGUGUAAGUAACUGUGCACAUAUUGACGGUACCUAAUCAGAAAGCCACGGCUAACUACGUG